UGCUAAAUAGCUCAGUGGGUAAAGCACAAGUCUCGUAAUCUCAGGGUUGUGUGUUCGAGCCCCACAUUGGGUGAA
Non-coding RNA from Podarcis lilfordi (Lilford's wall lizard), 75 nucleotides. NCBI's taxonomy places the organism in Eukaryota, Metazoa, Chordata, Lepidosauria, Squamata, Lacertidae. The record is from the annotation of a GenBank genome assembly.